CACUGAAUCUGCGGCCCACUUUCAAAGGCUGACUCCCCGAACACACUGUGCCUUCCUCUGCCCGAUUUUUGUUACUCGUUUUCUUUUGCCCUUCUGUGAAAAAUCAGGCUGGCUGCUGGGGAGAUCCUUUCUUCAGGUUACAAGGUCCUCAUAGAUCAAAUGUCCAUUGCAGUCUUCCUGGAAACCCAAGAGUUCCACCUUUGCUUUCUCUCAGAAGCACAGAUUGACACAGUGUACAUAUCCAGGGAUUCUACAUCCACCGGUUCAAUAAUUUACGGCUUGAAGAUAUUCAUACCCAAUACAUCCAAACAGCAAUAAUCGAUUUUGCCAUUUUGGAAAAGGGGCACAAUUGGACACCAUUUAUAAAAUGGGACCUGAGCAUCCAAGGAUUUUAGUAUUCCGGGCAUGUCCUGGAACCAAACCCCAGCAGAUACCAAAGGCCAACUGUGUCUUCAGUCUGAAGAAACUGUGAUUUCUCACAACGUUUAAAAAUGUGGUUGAGAGAUUAAGAUUGUCCCGAGGCUUUUAUGGUGAUACCAGUGUGCCACAAGAAAACCCUUGCAAAAUCCUGUAUCACUUAUGGGUCUGAUGUUUAUGCUCAUACAAUCAUUCGUCCCUCAGAAGUGCAAUCUGUUAGAAGAUGGCCUGAUUUAUACUACAAAAAGAUUACAGCUUGAAGAAGAAACAGCCACAAAACCAGAAGGAAAGCUUUACAAAUCCAACCAUCUUGUAGAGAUCAUGACAUGUCUUUCCAGAUACAUGCUUGGCUGAAUCUACCCUUCAAAAGCUAUCAGCUAAAAGAGCAACAGGGAAGCAAUACAGUUUGAGAGAAAGUAAGUGUGCCCAGUUUUUCAAUAUCAUGUGCACUCAAAACAAGUCUUACAGCCAGAAAUGAACAGCUUUCAGGUAUAGUCGAGAGGUGGGACCUAACUUGUUAGCUGGAAGGUGCUGAGUUAAGCAUUUCGAGAGACAGAAUUGCAAAUCAAAGACAGCAAAUGCAAGCUCCAUUUAAACAAACCAACAUGUAGAAUGCACAUUUCCAAAACAUACAUAAAGUUCCAAGGAAGAAAAGAAGAACACAUCGCCCUUAGAUUAAUUAUGCCAUCCUUUCAGGAUCACAGGCAUCCAAAAUCUGUCUUAAAAUGAAAGCUUGAACAUUACAAUAAUUUUAGGAUACUUUCCAAACGAAUAUAACUGCACCAGCUACUUCAGGCAAGGAUUUUACUCUACUACAAUACAGUACUCAAUGUCAUUAUAUUGCUUUGGAGCCUGCCAUAACUUAAAGGUAGUUUAAGACCAAACAGGGAAAUGUCUGUAAGUUGCAAAUUAAAUUGACACAUCCACUUGGGAUGCUAACCUGGCACCAAGGAUGAUAUCUCUGAGACACUGGACAUGCACAGUUCCAUUUGCCCAGGCUUUUAACAUGUAAAAUCAUUUUAUUAGCUUAUCAGCCUGAAGCAACAUAUGACUAGAAGCACAACACUUGUGUUCAGAAUACAAGGAGGGAAAGGACAAAAAAAGGCUCCUGUCCUUGAUUGUGCCGAGAGACAAAAGAAACCCCUGACAUCACUUUGCUUGCACUGGAAAGAUAAGGCAACAAUUACCAUCAUGUAGCAGGAAACCCCAAGAGCCCCUGCAGGUAUAGCAAUGAUUCUGACAAAAACACAGUGUAUAAAAACUUUGGAUUUUGAAAUAGUUAUUGCAUACAGAAAGGCUUAAACCUGCCACAACUGGUCAUGUUCAGAAGUUCCUUUAAGGAGAACGGGCACAGAUGUGUCUGUCUUGCAUGUGUCAAAGGGUCCAAAAGUUUUAGACAGCAAUCUAAGGAUCAUCUCAUUAUACAACUGACCAUAAUAUUUCUUCAACCAGCAGCAACAAAACUCCAACCAUUUACUAAUAUUAACCACAACUUGUGAAACAGGCUGCUAAAAAGAUCAGCCUUAGUCCUUGAAGAUCAGUGAUCCUUGACAAGGAAAGCCAAAGCAGGAGAACACUGAGACCUACAAAAAAGUAAUUGGGUGUAAGGAAAUGCCUUGCUAAAAACUCCAGAUGUAACAUCAAUCACCAGGGACAAAGGCAAAAAUCAGUAAGUUCCUGCCAGUGAACCUUUAAAGGUUGACUGGUGUUUGUGAAACCCAAUACAAAGCUAUGAUUAAGGGGAAAUCUCAGAAAAGCCAUGUGAAAUAUGAUGGGUUGCAAGAAUAUGCUGCAAACUAAAAACUGUAAAGGCAAGAUUGAACAGCUCACAUAGACAUACACUCUUAGAUGUUUGCAUGUGCAUGAAUGUCAAAUCAUUCAAGUGAAUUGCAAACUAGUUCCUGGAGAAUAUCUGCUAGCCAGAACUAAGUUAUAAGAUGUUAGACUUGUUGAAUAAAAUCGAAACAGAAUUUCACAUUUCCAGAGUAAAUAUGAAAACAUCAGGCACCUGACAUUUAUCCAACCCUGACUUUCUAUCUUAUCACUCUCUAAUUAACCUCCAAAACAAUUUUGGAAUUUCACCCAAAUGCAGGCUGCUGGUAAGCCCAAACUUAGACCAUUUGCCGUUACUGUCUUGCAAACACACACUCACACAAAGACAGUAAUUACACAUGUUUCCUGAUCCAGUGCAAUGCCAGGCAAGAGAUAUUUUUAGCCCUAAUCCAUUUAAAGUGCUAAAUUCCCAGGGAAUCAACAGCAAUGCUUCACUCAUCACCCCAGCAGCAUCCGUAUGGCCACUACACUCAGCCUCAAGCUUGCAAAACCAAAGAAUGAAGCCUUCUUAGUCCAGUUUGCAUUCACUUGGACCACUACCACUGCGUCCUGCAUCCCAGUCCACUGCUGUUCCAAAUAUACACUUCUAUGAUUCUAUAACAUUGGCAUCACAGCUAAAAUGCAGGACACCACAAUUUCCCAAGAUAUUUGUCCUUUCAACCACAAGACACAUUUUUAUUCAUCAGUUUGCUAAUGGUUCCUGGAUUGAACAUCACACAUUCACAGAAGUUUCUGGAGACUGUUUUAUGCCACCUUCAUGGUGAAAUAAUGGUUCAGCCAAGCUCACUGUGAUGGACCAUCAAAAGGAAGCCUCAUGAUCACUUACACAUGAACUUCCUCAUAAAACCUGAUGACUUGUGGCUUCAUCUGGGAGGGGAACUCCACCUGCUGUGUAUGUCUGUUCCUACUUUUCAUAUAUGGUGGAUUUGCCAUGGAAUAUACCUAUGAAAACCUAAUAACUUGCAUCCCUUGGUACAACUGAUCUCACAAACACACAAAUAACGUUUUCAGAGAAGAGUGGUUGGCCUUACACUGCUGUUCCUGGACAAACUUGGAAGUUCCUGGCCAUUACUUCCCUUCCACAUCAUUUUCUCUAGUACCCAAGGUUUGUUUUUCAGUUCAAUUUUUCAAAAUUCUGAUUUUCAGCCUGUUUUACCUUUUCUUUGCUCCAGCGUCAAAUAGCUUUCCUUGUGGAUCCAUUAAUUUCGCAGCUUUAAAUUUUAAAGUGUAAGGACCUUAAUGGAACUGUUGUACUUUAUUAAUGGCAUGAGCCACUUAAGAGACUACUCAAAAACAGGGUGCAAAUUAGACAGACAGAUACAGCUAGGCAAUUUUUUUCGUAUCUCUUAUCUCUAGUGAUGGAUAAAGCGAAGAGAAACAUAUUUCUAAGAGAAAAAAGAGAAAACACAAGAUGACACAAAGCCAAAGUAAGAUGAAGUGUAUUCAGUGGGAUUUCAAAAAUCCACAUGCGUCUCUCCAAUGGCCUUCCUAGCUUGGUAAAAUUCCAGUUACAUGGCACCAGAGCCUCACCGAGAUGGCUGCAGCAACAAUUACAAUGUCCUCUACUGUACAGUACUGCUAUAAGCCAGUGAACCUUUGGGCACUGUGGGAGCCAUAACAUGCUCAAGGAUGCCACGUAAAUAUGUCUCCAUAGCAACUGCGGAGAUGUAUUGAACUCUCAUGGUUUACCAAUUGAUUUUAUGAUCCACAAAGGGAUCAGAGUGUGCAACAAAGCGAGCAGAAAGGUCCCCAUCGGAGAGAAAGCCAGCCUCAAAGCCAUGGCAAACGCAAAGGACACUACAGCACAGGCUUAUCAAAGGGUUACCAAUAUCCAUCUGGAAUAAUUAAAUCUUCUUAAUGGCAUGCAA
Anolis carolinensis (green anole) is the source of this 4118-nucleotide long non-coding RNA. RefSeq lists it as uncharacterized. The transcript is spliced from 2 exons. Lineage: Eukaryota; Metazoa; Chordata; Lepidosauria; Squamata; Anolidae. The record is from RefSeq and is a predicted model, not a curated record.